CUACGGGUCGCACCAGUGGGGAAUAUUGCACAAUGGGCGCAAGCCCGAUGCAGCCAUGCCGCGUGUAUGAAGAAGGCCUUCGGGUUGUAAAGUACUUUCAGCGGGGAGGAAGGGAGUAAAGUUAAUACCUUUGCUCAUUGACGUUACCCGCAGAAGAAGCACCGGCUAACUCCGUGCCAGCAGCCGCGGUAAUACGGAGGGUGCAAGCGUUAAUCGGAAUUACUGGGCGUAAAGCGCACGCAGGCGGUUUGUUAAGUCAGAUGUGAAAUCCCCGGGCUCAACCUGGGAACUGCAUCUGAUACUGGCAAGCGUGAGUCUCGUAGAGGGGGGUAGAAUUCCAGGUGUAGCGGUGAAAUGCGUAGAGAUCUGGAGGAAUACCGGUGGCGAAGGCGGCCCCCUGGACGAAGACUGACGCUCAGGUGCGAAAGCGUGGGGAGCAAACAGGAUUAGAUACCCUAGUAGUC
Molecule: ribosomal RNA, 464 nt
Filed under: uncultured bacterium
Lineage: Bacteria
Description: partial 16S ribosomal RNA
Rfam family: Bacterial small subunit ribosomal RNA
Source: RNAcentral